GAUAAACGCUGGCGGCGUGCCUAACACAUGCAAGUCGAACGUCCUCUCUCGCAAGAGAGAGGGAGUGGCGGACGGGUGAGUAACACAUGGGUCACCUACCCUAAGUGAGGAAUACCGGCGAGAAAUCGCCGACAAGACCGCAUAGGCUCUCUCUUUGUCAAGAGAGAGCAAAGCUUCGCAAGAGGCGCUUGAGGAUGGGCCUGUGGCCGAUUAGCUGGUU
This 220-nucleotide ribosomal RNA is filed under the name uncultured bacterium. RNAcentral's name for it is "partial 16S ribosomal RNA". It matches the Rfam family "Bacterial small subunit ribosomal RNA", at positions 28 to 250 of the family's 1533-position model. The record is from RNAcentral.